CAACUUCUUUGUCAUAAUUAACAAUCAACAUGGCUCAUGCGGCCUCUCUCAGCAUCUGUAUUGUCCUCCUACUUUCAGCAAAACUGAUGUUGGUAGAACCAGCAACACAGAUUGCACAAAUUGAAGACACUAGUAAGAAGUCCAAUGAGAUCGUGAUGAAAAGUGUCAUUAAGCCAAGUCCAAGGCCACCCUACUUCCAGGGCGGUGGCGGGGGAAAGUGUAAGAGAGGGCAUUGCCCUCCACCACACCCUCAAACUAAAAAAAAAAUAUAAUAAAAUGAAUUAAUGGAACUAGUUGUGGUGCCAUCUACUCAGUUUCCAUUCGAGUAUGCAACUUAUAUUAUAUCAGAUGAAGCAAGCACCUCAUGGUAUC
This is a long non-coding RNA of Malania oleifera, 372 nucleotides long. RefSeq lists it as uncharacterized. The transcript is spliced from 2 exons. The record is from RefSeq and is a predicted model, not a curated record. Lineage: Eukaryota; Viridiplantae; Streptophyta; Magnoliopsida; Santalales; Ximeniaceae.